AAGGUGGUGUGGCUGAAGAACCAGGUGUGGGUGGAUUCACCCCGAGGUGUGGGUGUUUUUGGGGUGUUUUUGGGGUGCAUUUCUGGUCCCUCCUGACCCUCGGUGCCCCCUGGCCAGCCCAAGGUGGUGUGGCUGAAGAACCAGGUUUUGGGUGUUUUUGGGGUGUUUUUGGGGUGGUUUUGGGGUGGAUUUUGGGGGUCUCCCAAUCCAUUCUUUGCAUCCCAAUGGGGCUGUGGAUUCACCCCAAGGCGUGGGUGUUUCUGGGGUGUUUUUGGGGUACAUUUCUGGCCCCUCCUGACCAGUUUUUCCCCCUGGCCAGCCCAAGGUGGUGUGGCUGAAGAACCAGAUGGCCAUCGGGGACGACCCGCGGUUCCUGGCCCGGCACAGCCAGGGGGUGCUGACCCUGCUCAUCCGCAAGCCGGGGCCCUUCGACGGCGGCACCUACAGCUGCAGGGCCAGCAACGAGCUGGGGGAGGCCCUGACCGAGUGCAGGCUCGAGAUCCGCGGUGAGGGGGCACC
Long non-coding RNA from Corapipo altera (White-ruffed manakin), 519 nucleotides. RefSeq lists it as uncharacterized. Lineage: Eukaryota; Metazoa; Chordata; Aves; Passeriformes; Pipridae. The record is from RefSeq and is a predicted model, not a curated record. The transcript has 3 exons.